AAGAAGCCAACGCUGACAGGUCAGAAGAAGCCAACGCUGAGGAAGCCAACGCUGACAGGUCAGAAGAAGCCAACGCUGAGGAAGCCAACGCUGACAGGUCAGAAGAAGCCAACGCUGAGGAAGCCAACGCUGACAGGUCAGAACAUGCCCACGCUGAGAGCGCUGACGCCGACUGAGCGGCACGCCCAAAGUCUAGCCACAAAAAGAAGACUAUGCCAGCACGUCUUUCACUCCGAAUUAGCUCAUCUUAAAGUACAAGAACCACGGGGGGCAGAUAAUAAAACUUAUUUCUUUGAACGUA
This 301-nucleotide unclassified non-coding RNA is filed under the name Dermacentor andersoni. RNAcentral's name for it is "tol-Pal system protein TolA-like". Lineage: Eukaryota; Metazoa; Arthropoda; Arachnida; Ixodida; Ixodidae. The record is from RNAcentral.